This 784-nucleotide long non-coding RNA is filed under the name Olea europaea (common olive). RNAcentral describes it as "long non-coding RNA (OEUR_LNC002871)". The record is from RNAcentral. Lineage: Eukaryota; Viridiplantae; Streptophyta; Magnoliopsida; Lamiales; Oleaceae.
UUUAAUGAUAUAAACAAUCACCAAGUUAAUACCAGUGAUCAAUUGAAUAUUCUCUAGGUGAACAUACUUUUUAAAUUCAGAUCUCAAGCGCUAUAAUCUAAAGAUCAAUAUCUAUGGUAACACCAUACAACUUCUUUAAGUUGGAUAAUUAAAUAGCAAUUCUUUAAAUUAUAAAUUCAGCAAACACUACCUUGUAAUUGGGAAUCUCCCUCUUCAAUCCAAGCGUUUAGCACAAAAAUCACGUCAAAUAAUUGAGGCAAGGCUGAGGCAAAAGCAGAAAUGACAGAUGCAAGGGGUAGGAAAUGGGCCAAAUGGCCGACAGAUAUCUGUGUGUAUGAUCUCGAGUAACUCAGUAUUCCUCUUGGAACUUUUAGUGGUCUGCUGUGGCCACUUUCCCAAAGACUCGUGUUAAGACUCCAUCAUUUACUAACAUUUUCAUUCUCUCUAUGGAGAUGUGUCCCAAUCUCCUAAGCCAAAGUUUAGAGGAGUUUUCAGUCCAUCCAAACAAGGCAAUGUUUUGGACCUUCCCGUAUAGCUCAGAAUGGUUAAUGAUACUGAAAGAGAAGGGUAAACUAAACUUCUGCCAAUUUUAUCUUGCCUCCAAACUCGACAGUUUUUUUAUCCUGGAAGAAAUUAAGGGGACUCCUAGGUACCUGACAGGGAGGGAUCGUGUAGCGAAGAAUUCUGAGGAGCUCGGUUUUGACAUCCCUAGCCGCCUUAAAGAGGUUGCUUUUGUCUGGAUUAGGAGCAAGCCCAGACAUGUAUUUGAAGAGAGAAGAAACGC